GAUGAACGCUGGCGGCGUGCCUAAUACAUGCAAGUCGAGCGAACAGACGAGGAGCUUGCUCCUCUGACGUUAGCGGCGGACGGGUGAGUAGCACGUGGAUAACCUACCUAUAAGACUGGGAUAACUUCGGGAAACCGGAGCUAAUACCGGAUAAUAUAUUGAACCGCAUGGUUCAAUAGUGAAAGACGGUUUUGCUGUCACUUAUAGAUGGAUCCGCGCCGCAUUAGCUAGUUGGUAAGGUAACGGCUUACCAAGGCAACGAUGCGUAGCCGACCUGAGAGGGUGAUCGGCCACACUGGAACUGAGACACGGUCCAGACUCCUACGGGAGGCAGCAGUAGGGAAUCUUCCGCAAUGGGCGAAAGCUUGACGGAGCAACGCCGCGUGAGUGAUGAAGGUCUUCGGAUCGUAAAACUCUGUUAUUAGGGAAGAACAAAUGUGUAAGUAACUAUGCACGUCUUGACGGUACCUAAUCAGAAAGCCACGGCUAACUACGUG
RNAcentral lists this ribosomal RNA (497 nucleotides) under uncultured bacterium. RNAcentral describes it as "partial 16S ribosomal RNA". It matches the Rfam family "Bacterial small subunit ribosomal RNA", at positions 28 to 507 of the family's 1533-position model. The record is from RNAcentral.